AGUGAACGCUGGCGGUAGGCCUAACACAUGCAAGUCGAACGGCAGCACAGUAAGAGCUUGCUCUUACGGGUGGCGAGUGGCGGACGGGUGAGGAAUACAUCGGAAUCUACUUUUUCGUGGGGGAUAACGUAGGGAAACUUACGCUAAUACCGCAUACGACCUACGGGUGAAAGCAGGGGAUCUUCGGACCUUGCGCGAUUGAAUGAGCCGAUGUCGGAUUAGCUAGUUGGCGGGGUAAAGGCCCACCAAGGCGACGAUCCGUAGCUGGUCUGAGAGGAUGAUCAGCCACACUGGAACUGAGACACGGUCCAGACUCCUACGGGAGGCAGCAGUGGGGUAUAUUGGACAAUGGGCGCAAGCCUGAUCCAGCCAUACCGCGUGGGUGAAGAAGGCCUUCGGGUUGUAAAGCCCUUUUGUUGGGAAAGAAAAGCAGCAGGUUAAUACCCCGCUGUUCUGACGGUACCCAGAGAAUAAGCACCGGCUAACUUCGUG
This 492-nucleotide ribosomal RNA is filed under the name uncultured bacterium. RNAcentral describes it as "partial 16S ribosomal RNA". It matches the Rfam family "Bacterial small subunit ribosomal RNA", at positions 29 to 507 of the family's 1533-position model. The record is from RNAcentral.